UACGUAGGGGGCAAGCGUUGUCCGGAUUUAUUGGGCGUAAAGAGCGUGUAGGCGGCCAGGUAGGUCCGUUGUGAAAACUCGAGGCUCGACCUCGAGACGCCGAUGGAAACCAUCUGGCUAGAGUCCGGAAGAGGAGAGUGGAAUUCCCGGUGUAGCGGUGAAAUGCGCAGAUAUCGGGAAGAACACCCGUGGCUAAGGCGGCUCUCUAGUACGGUACUGACGCUGAGACGCGAAAGCGUGGGGAGCGAACAGG
RNAcentral lists this ribosomal RNA (253 nucleotides) under uncultured bacterium. RNAcentral describes it as "partial 16S ribosomal RNA". It matches the Rfam family "Bacterial small subunit ribosomal RNA", at positions 524 to 776 of the family's 1533-position model. The record is from RNAcentral.